UUUUAUUAUUAGUAUAGAAUACAAUUGGGGACUACAAGCAAUUGCUUAAAAACCCAAGAAUUUGGCGGUGUCUUAUUCUAUCAGGGGAUUCUGUCUCGUAAUCGACAACCCACGAAGAAAGUUACCUACUCUAGAUAAUUUCAGCUUGUGUACUGCCGUCUAUAUAGGCCCUUAAAGUUACCUAUAAUUAUAUAAAAGAAAUAUUACGACAGGUCAAAGUGCAGCUAAUGGGUAGGGGAAGAUGGAUUACAAUCUAUAACAUAGCUUAAUUUUAUAUUAACAUAUAGAUUAAAAAGAAUUUGAUAGUAAUGAAAUUUAUAAUAAUAUCAUGAAUAANAACUUAAGACAAGC
RNAcentral lists this ribosomal RNA (351 nucleotides) under Dina lineata. RNAcentral describes it as "partial 12S ribosomal RNA". The record is from RNAcentral. Lineage: Eukaryota; Metazoa; Annelida; Clitellata; Hirudinida; Erpobdellidae.